This 3212-nucleotide ribosomal RNA is filed under the name Candidatus Micrarchaeota archaeon CG10_big_fil_rev_8_21_14_0_10_45_29. RNAcentral's name for it is "bacterial LSU rRNA". It matches the Rfam family "Archaeal large subunit ribosomal RNA", at positions 15 to 2578 of the family's 2987-position model. The record is from RNAcentral. Lineage: Archaea; Nanobdellati; Microcaldota.
ACGCCACUUAGUGGAUGACUCGGCUUUAGUAGAGCAUAGUGCCGCGGCAAGCAGCGAAAUUCGUAGGGGAGGUGCAGGCACCCCUUGAUCCUACGGUAGCACAGAGCCCUGUAAUGGGCUAAUACGCCGAAGAUUAAAACAUUCUAGUAUCGGCAGGAAGAGAAACCAAUUGGGAUUUGGUUAGUAAGGGUGACUGAAAGCCAAAAAGCGCGUUCUGAAUCCUACCAAGGCAACUUGGAGGAGAUGUGGGGCGGAUUAACCAUGUAGGGAGCACAAGCAACUGGAAAGUUGCGCCAUAGAGAGUGAAAGCCUCGUGUGCAAAUCGUCAUGGUGUGAUGCCAAAAGAGUAGUGUCCUUCGAAUAUGGGGCAUGAAUACGGGAGUAUCAACUUCCAACGCUAAAUAUAACUAAAGACCGAUAGCGUAUGAGUAACGUGAGUGAAAGUUGAAAAGAUCCCCGGAAGGGGAGUGAAAAGACCUGAAACUAAGUGGCUACAGUUUGGUAUGGCAUGAAAGGAACGACGUCUCCCGAAGUGACUGUCCGCAGGGGCAUGAUCGAGGGAGAAAUACCGAUGUCAUACCGUUCUUCUCGAAGCAAGAGCCAAGGAGUUGUUUAGCGUGGCGAGGCGAAAGCCGAAGCGAAAGCAAGUGGGUUUUUACCCGUCGUCUGAAAAGGCGAUUAGUCACUCUUUACAGACCCGAAGCUGAUGUGAUCUAAGCGUGGGCAGGUCGAAGUCCGCCUGACGGCGGAUGGAGGACCGCAAAUGUUGCUAGUAUAUUCUGCUCAUGUGACCCACGUUUAGGGGUGAUAGUCCAGUCGAACUCAGCAAUAGCGGGUUCCCCUCGAAGUAUAUCUUAGUAUAGCCUCGCACGAGGCGGGCUAUGGGGUAGGGCACUAAUCAUUUGGAGCGGACUCGAAAGGGUUCACCGAAUUGUUAAACCUCGAAUCCAUAGCCGCCGCAGACUGCGGGAGUCGGAUUCCGGCGGGUAAGCCGACGGGUCGAUACGGGAAAGGCCGUAACUAAGGUUAAGGUCCCUAAAUUUAGGCUAAGUGUGAAUCCACAAGAAGUUUAUGGUCUUAAACAGCCGGAAGGUAGGCUUAGAAGCAGCCAUCCUUUAAACAACGCGUAAUAGCGGACCGGUCUAGAUCCUAGAUUUCGAAGAUAAUCGGGACUAAGCCUAUUACCGAUACCUUAGAGUUCAUCCCUUAGGGGAUGAAACUGUUAGGGGGGCGAGCUGGCAGGGCUGAAGCAGGGUGGUAACCUCCUGUGGACCGGCCAGCUAUGAAUAUCUUGGUAUUAGUAGCAGCAUACCUAGGUGAAAAUCCUAGGCGCCGCAUAGCACGCGGGUUUCUGGGCCAUGUUUAUCAGCCCAGAGUAAGGCGAUCCUAAGCGCACCGGUAAUUCCGACUGCGCAAAAGGGAAACGGGUUAAAAUUCCCGUCCUAGCCAAAUAGACGCGGCAACGCAAAUUCCGCUCUCGACGGCUUGGGAUAGGCCAUGCAGAGGAGACUCUGCUUAACUAAGGCAAUGCCAUGGAGACUGAUCGUCAGGAGAAGUGGUAUAAUCUUAGGAAUGUUCAAGAUGGCUGAUUCCUGGGUUCCAUGAAAAGAGCGCGGUUUCGAUUUUGGCUAAUCGUACCUAGAACUAUUACAGGUGCUGCUGGCAGAAAAAGCCAAGGCGUGUCAGGAUAACCCUGCAAAGGGAACUCGGCCAAUUAGUCGCUUACCUUCGGAAUAAGCGAUGCCUGCAUAUGUUAAAGCAUUCGCAGGCCUCAGUAACUAGGGGAGACCGACUGUUUACCAAAAACACAACUCAUAGCAAAGCGGAAACGCUUAGUAUUAUGGGUGACGCCUGCUCACUACCGGUACGUGAAAGCCUGGUUCAACGGGCCUAAGCGCCGGCAAAGAGCGGGGGUAACUCUGACCCUCAACUUAUACAGGGGGCAUAAAAUUUGGCUAUAUGCUGGAAACUCCAAUGCCAUCCUUCCAGAGCAUGGGAAAAUGGGAUGCGCAGAUGCGGACAAUCAGCAGGAAACGGUGAUUUAUAUGUUGCAAGAAUACAAUGACUUGGUAAAGGUGAGCAACCUUCCAAAGAAAAGAAAAGAGCUUGCAUAUUAUAUCGUCGGUUUUGCAGACGCGGAAGGGUGCUUCAACGUUGCACUGAAAAAACAGAAAGAUACCCGAUUCGGUUGGGUGUUGGACCCUGUUUUUCAUGUAACGCAGCACAAGUCCCAUCGGCACAUAUUAGAGCUAUGCAAAAGGUUUCUCGGGUGCGGAAGAGUGAUUCCAAAGCCCGGGCAGCCAGACGUAUUGCAAUUCUAUGUUGAUAACCGGCGGCAAUUGCAUGAAAAAAUAAUUCCGUUUUUUGAGCGCUACAAACUGCUUGUAAAAGCGCGCGACUUUGAAAUUUUUUCAAAAAUUGUGCGUGAUUUAGAGCAGAAGAAGCAUUCAAAUAUUGAUUCUUUCAAGGAGAUGGUAAAAAUCGCCUUUGAAAUGAACCAGAACGGAAAGCAAAGAAGAUAUAUUCUUUCAGAAGUGAUGAAAGACUUGUCUUUAACUGGAUCCUCAGAGACUAUACGCCAAACUACUGGUGAAAGCCAGAGAUGAUAUAGUCCAGCACAAUUUUUCUUCGGAAUUUUUGUGUUGCUUGAGGUAGCGUAAUACCUCGCCGCUUAAUUGGUGGCUUGCAUGAAUGGCGUAACGAGUCUCCCACUGUCCCUUGCAGGGACCUGGUGAACCUACUACACUGUGAGUAUGCAGUGGACUUCCAAGGGGAAACGAAGACCCCAUGGAGCUUUACUAUAGUCUGAUGUUGUAAUAUAGGGUUGCUAACGCAGCGUAAAUGGGAGCCGUUAUGUCCGUCCUUUCGGGGGCGGGAUAGGCGCCGUUGUAACACCAUUUUAGUGGCCUUGUAUUGCUUACCGUAAGGGACAGCGUCAGGUGGAUAGUUUGGCUGGGGCGGUACACCCUCGAUAAGAAAACAAGGGUGCCCAAUGCUCAGCUUAGGUGCGUCAGAAAUGCACCGUUAAGGGUUAAAGACAAAUGCUGGGCUGACUGUAUUCCUACAAGCGUGGAAUGCAGAGAAGAAAUUCGGGCUUAACGAACCUUGGUGGCCUUUUGAUGAGGCCCCAAGCUGUCAGACAAGCUACCCUGGGGGUAACAGGCUCGUCGCGGGCGAGAGAUGGAUAAAAUCCUCUUUUUUAACGUGUCGAA